This 74-nucleotide transfer RNA is filed under the name Stegodyphus dumicola. RNAcentral describes it as "tRNA-Ala". It matches the Rfam family "tRNA". Rfam says of the family: Transfer RNA (tRNA) molecules are approximately 80 nucleotides in length. Their secondary structure includes four short double-helical elements and three loops (D, anti-codon, and T loops). Further hydrogen bonds mediate the characteristic L-shaped molecular structure. tRNAs have two regions of fundamental functional importance: the anti-codon, which is responsible for specific mRNA codon recognition, and the 3' end, to which the tRNAs corresponding amino acid is attached (by aminoacyl-tRNA synthetases). tRNAs cope with the degeneracy of the genetic code in two manners: having more than one tRNA (with a specific anti-codon) for a particular amino acid; and 'wobble' base-pairing, i.e. permitting non-standard base-pairing at the 3rd anti-codon position. The record is from RNAcentral. Lineage: Eukaryota; Metazoa; Arthropoda; Arachnida; Araneae; Eresidae.
GCCUUCGUGGUGUAGUGGUUCUGCACGCUGGACCAGCAUUCCAGAGAUCCGUGGUUCGAUUCCCGGCGAAGGCG